RNAcentral lists this long non-coding RNA (832 nucleotides) under Numida meleagris (helmeted guineafowl). RNAcentral describes it as "lncRNA (ENSNMEG00000015869.1)". Lineage: Eukaryota; Metazoa; Chordata; Aves; Galliformes; Numididae. The record is from RNAcentral.
GCUCCGCCUGUCCCACCUCUGCGGUCCUUGUGCCAAUGCUGACUGCCUUGUUACUUGGAAUUGCUGCAGAAAGUCCAGAAGGAUUCCAGGAGAAGCGUUGAUUCUCCACCGAACAUAUGGAGAGGUGGAAAUGGUGCUCCUCGGCCUAUCUGCCAUUUGAUGCUCAGGAAGGGAGGAAGGAAGGAAAACCAAACGUUUCUGUGCCGAGGGGUUUCUCCAGCCUUAUCACGGCCUCGCUUCCUUUGCUAGAUGUUCUCUGAAGCGGUGGAAGAGGGGAGCUAACUCCGUGUUUUCCUCUCAGGGCACAGAAAUACAGUGGGAAGAUGGAGCUGCAGGGAGAAACUCCAACAAGCCAGCAGGGUGGGCUGCUAAUACUCAGAAGAGACUCCUCCAUCCGCUCAUGGUUCUCUUGCCCCACAAUUUCUUCCAUUUGAACUUCUGCCCAUGGUCUGCAGUGACUCUUCUAGAGCAGGUCUGCUGUCAUGUAAAGGACACAGCAGGUGAGUGUGAAAUGGUAUGUUCACGUUAUAUUGAGGGACAUAGUUUAAUGGGUGUGUUGGCAGUGGGUUAACGGUUGGACCAGGUGGUCUUUGUGGUCUUUUCCAACCUUAAUGAUUCUAUGGUUCUGUGAUUCUGUGAUUUGAAUACUGGUGCUAUGGAACACUUCUAAAGCUUUAUUUUUCCUGACAGAUUUCCUCACUUACUGAGAGUAUCACGGUUUCAAGCAUUUCAGCUCCUAGCCACUAGAGCUGAAUGCAUUUUUUUCAUGUGAAGUGAUUGUUUUUAUGACAUCAAAAUAUUUUAAUUCCAGUUUCCUUUUUUUAAAAAAAAU